GACUCUGUGGUGAAAUUCAUGGUGAGUUGCAAGCUCAUCGAUGUGCGCUAAGAGCGUACCAGGGUCU
Molecule: transfer RNA, 67 nt
Filed under: Phasianus colchicus (ring-necked pheasant)
Lineage: Eukaryota; Metazoa; Chordata; Aves; Galliformes; Phasianidae
Description: tRNA-Cys
Source: RNAcentral